GCCACAGAGACCAACUGGCAGGGACGAGACGGGGCACCCCUCAAGCAACGGGUAGCGGGUGUCCAGCUGGACGUCCCCAUCGCUCUGCUGCAGAGGUCGCUAAGACACUUGCACUCCCGUCCUCGUUUCACGGAAGGGCCCUGCAAGCACCCGCUCACCGCUCACGGCUGCGUACUGGGCGCAGGGGGCCCAGGCCUGCCCGGCGAGCGCGCUGGGGCUCCCGCGCGGAGCGCACGGAGGACGCCUCAUCCGCAGAGCAACGGCUCGGCUGAGCAGACGGACGGGUCGAGCUUGCGGCCGUCCGGAGGCGACCCCCUGGGGGUCUCAGCAGGGGAGCUACCUGUCGCGUAGGCCACACGUAAACCGUGGGGGCCACAGGACGGUCUUCAGAUUGCGGCCACGCAGCCCCGCCCGGCAGGAGCCGGAGGACCGUCCUCUUCCCCCGGGCAGGCCCUGGACAAGGCCCUGGUUCCCAACAGAACGUCACAGAAACGACUUCCCGAGCCUGCAAGACCCGGUCACACGUCCUGCGGCUUCCUGCGGUUCCGUCUCGAACCGCUCGUCCUCCGCGCGCUCAGCCCGGCCGCCGCCCCGAGCAGACCAGGCCGGCCGCAGUCGGCGGGUCCCAGCCGGCAGCCCCCGCGGGCCUCCGGGCGCGCCGCCCACUUCACGGCCGCAGGGAAGCUCCGUGUGUCCGACGGUCACGCUUCCGCCGGGCCCGGGUCCCGGCCGACGCGGAGCGGCGCCUCCCGACGUCCGCGAGCGAAGACUGUCCGGCCGAGCCCCGCCAGCGCACGGACCCCGAGAAACAGCAACGCGCGGCCGUGACGCCGCCGAGUGUGGUGUGGUGGUUUGUCAGCCGCGCGAGCCCAAGUCGUUCCCCGGGACGCGCUCGGUGUCCCACAGCUAACCGCGCUUUACGAUAAAAUAUCCGGACCGGCUAGCGCUGUUUGGACAAACGCAGUUAUGAUUCAGUAUGAAAGGGCUAGUUAUGUCUUUAUCAUCAUGAGGAUGAGCCAAAGGGAAAAGCAGGCAUCGUCAGUACAGAGAACGGCAUGUAGUAGAACGAACGAUGUUUCCAUGGAAGGACCAGAACUGUCAGCGAACGGAGAGAAAAGGGCCAGAACUGUCAGCGAACGGAGAGAAAAGGNCCAGAACUGUCAGCGAACGGAGAGAAAAGGGCCAGAACUGUCAGCGAACGGAGAGAAAAGGCCGCUUUCCUCACGCAUAAAGGAAACUGUCAGAACACCCGCACUCGGUCAGCCCCGAGACAUACUGAUUCCUGGGGAAAGCAUACGGAAGUGGCUGACGUGGGAGAGAAGAAUAUGUGUUAGUAUCGAUGAAUUUAAUUUUAGACUUAUUUUGAAAAUUCCAGUAACACAAACUCCACUCUUAUCAAAUUAAUUUCUAAAUUUAACAUCAUGACCCUAAUCAAAAUUCUGACAAUACUUUCAGCGGGAUCUGACCAGCGGACUCUCAAGGUCUUCUGGAAAACUAAACAAACAUACCAGGAGGAAGACUUGCCCGAUUGCAGCAGAUAAAAGAACAUGUCACAGUGAUUUAUAACGUAGUAUUGUUUCAUAAACAGAUCAAAAGAUUAACCAAACAGAGAAGAAAGUUCAAAAAAGGCCUCGUUCAACCACAAGUUUUUGUUUAUUAUAAAGCUAGUACAUGAAAUUAGUGGGAGAAGGAUGAAUGAGGGAAAGGAGAUUAAAAAGUUAGUUCUCCUUUCAGAAAUAAAAAUAAUUUCCAGUUCACCCUACACACACACACACACACACACACACACAAAUCCACAUUAAUGUAAAAAAAAAAAAAAAAGGACAACAAAAAGUACCAAAACAAUAUACAGAGAAAUACCCUCAAAAUCUU
This 1872-nucleotide long non-coding RNA is filed under the name Mustela putorius furo (domestic ferret). RNAcentral describes it as "lncRNA (ENSMPUG00000025462.1)". The record is from RNAcentral. Lineage: Eukaryota; Metazoa; Chordata; Mammalia; Carnivora; Mustelidae.